This 28639-nucleotide long non-coding RNA is filed under the name Elaeis guineensis (African oil palm). RNAcentral's name for it is "long non-coding RNA (EGUI_LNC008668)". Lineage: Eukaryota; Viridiplantae; Streptophyta; Magnoliopsida; Arecales; Arecaceae. The record is from RNAcentral.
CCUCUAUGAUCUGCUUUUGGUGGCCUAUGGUAAGUUUUGCUCUUGUUUUAGAUGGCGAUUUUUUAUCAUUAGUGUGGUGAGAGUUGUAGGAGAGUCCUCUAUUUUGAUGCGAACAGUCCUUGGGACCUGGCCAUGGCCAGCCAUCACUUUCUUUUGCUUCUGCUGCCAUCUUAUUUUGGUAAUUAGGUUGAGUGAGUGAAAGAGAUCAUCGAGUUGGCUUUGAUUCUUUUAUUUCUUUUUCUUUCGUUCUAAGGGUAGCUCCCUGCUAUCUCUUGCUUGUUCUGAAGGAUGAUCAUAGUUGUUUGUUAGAAAACUGAUGGAUUCUUGGAGCUAGCUUUAUAGAUCNNNNNNNNNNNNNNNNNNNNAUAUAUAUGAAUUAAAGAACUAACUUCUUUUGCUAGUAGUAGUAAAACUUGACAAUAAUACUAGUAGUGCCACUAUUUGUCGACCAUAUAAAGUUCCACAUUUUCCUUAUUACACUUUAAGUUACAUCUAUUUGUAAAAGUAUUUAUAUUAUAUAUAAUGCUCUAGUUUAUGUAAGUUUUCAUGUUGUACUUCAUGCUUUAAUUUAUUGGUUGGUUUAUUGGUGCAUAUCCAUCGAGUUAUAUCAUACUGAAAUACAUACUACAGAAACUUUCAUGUAUGGCUUUACUCACUGAUGGCUACACACAUUGUUGAGUUAAUAAAUAUUGGUGAUAUUAUGGGAUUAUAUGAUAUAUUGCUAUAGAAUUGUUUUAGUUUAAUGGAAAUAAUACAUAGUUGUUGUAAUUUGACAUAUUGACAAAUAUACAUCUUGAACAAUGCCCAUGCGUCGAGUUGGACUGAAUAAGCUGGUGAUCUUGGCAUUUUUUGCAAUUCUCUGCACGCCUGCCUUCAUACCCAUUGUCCUUAUAGAUCAACACAUGCAGGGCAUUUUACUAUUCUCCUACAUAGUUGCUGAUUAUUUAAAUUAUCUAUUAUUUGCAAUACCUUAAAUUUUGAUUAUUUCGUAUAGGUGAUAUCAUCCUUACUCCUAUAUCAAAUUAUUAAUUGAUAAUUAUAAUUCUAUAGUCCAUGUAGGUAUGAUUUUGUGUUUCCUCAUGUGAUUGUUGUGAUUAUUUAUUCCCAGUUGUACUUCUUAAAUUCAUAAAUAUUUACCAUAUGUAGUGUAAGGGGCUUAAUGACGAAUUUCAUGGAUCUUUGAAUAUUUUAUUAUGAAAUUAUCUGAAUGGAUCGCAUAGAAUUUAUAUGGAUGGUUUUGGUUGUAUUUAUAUAGAUCAAUUGACCUUUGAAAGGUUUUUAUGGAUGCUUUUAUGUGCAAGGGCUCAUCUUUAUAAUGCUAGUAGAAUGCAUAGCAAUAUGUGUUAGAUGGCCAUUUAGAUGGCAACCUUUGCAACCACCUCUUUCUAUGUGAGGUGAUAGAUGAUUAGAGAGGCUUCUUGGAGGAACUACCGUGUAGUUCUUUUUCCAUGGCUGCUGAUGAUACGAGCCUCACACUCAGCUAAUAAUCAUUUCCAGUCCCACAAUUUAUUUCAAGGGCAUGUUUGGUUCAUAAGCAAAAUUAAAUUAGAAUGGAUUGCAAUGAGAAUCGAAACGACAAUCUAUCAUGCCUCUAAUCUGAUAUUGCAAAUCAAAGAUCACAGCAAUCAUCAUAUACUCAUUGAAAACUCAUCCUACAGGCAUGCAAGACAAUAUCAAAUACAUCAUAAUGAAAAUAAUUUAAAUAACUAAUAUCUAAAAUUAAAUUAAUAAAUAAAUCUAACUAAUAAAUAGAGUUUAGAAAAUCUUACGUCACUUAAAUCUCAACUAAUAAUAUUGUAAAAUAUAGUAAUAAAUCUAAAUCUAAAUUAUAUUAAUACUAUCAAAUUUCACCUCUAGUUUUACUUCCAAUGAAGUAUUCCAUAACUAUCUAAAUCUUAAAAAAAAAAAAAGAAAAGAUAAUGAGCUCGAAAGCCCAUUAAAUAAUAAAUACUUUAACUAGAUAAUUCAUAUAACAGCAGAUACGAUAGACAAAUAUAAUUUUUCAUUAAUCAGCAUAAAAGUAUAAUUAAUUUAUUUUUCAAAACAUAAAUCCAAUCAUUUCAAUAUCUUUUAAAUAUUCAUAGAUAUAAUCAUAAAUCCAACACGGAACAAAUUAUAUUUAACUUGAUAAUCUCUAACCAUGAUCACACUUAUAGCUUAUGACUGGGCCAAAAAUAAAAUCAUACUUAUACCCCACGGAGUAGGACAGAAUAUCAUAUUUAUAUCCUAUAACAUAGACCAGAAUACCAUACAUAUCCUAUGAUGUGGGUCAAAAUACCACAAUAUUUAUAUUCCAUAGUGGGCCAAAAAUAGAAUAAUGAGCUUAGUGAUAAUCAAAGUGCCAAUGCAUCAUUCCGAAUUAUCAAGAUACAUAAUAAAGUUAGGUUGAGAGUUCAAAUCCGAGACAUAUCAAAAAUUUUUUAUAGAAUAGCAUAUAUUCCAUAAUUCAAUCAAACUAUAUAUAUACGGUCUAAGAUCAAUAAACAAUUAUAAUGAUGAUCCAAGAAAUAUUAAUUCAAAAUUUCAUAUCAAUUUCCAUUUAAAACAUAAUUUCAUAAUAUUUAUUAAUCCAUUAACAAUUGAUUGGAUACCAAAAAAUAAUAUUAUGUAAACAAAAAUCUAGAAAAGAUAUAUCAUUAUUUAUCUUGCACAAACAAUGAGCAGAUAAAUCUAGCUAAUUUUGAAAUUUUCAUUCAAAAUUUAAUAUUCAAAAUCAUAUUUUUAUCAAAAUUUAAUUAUUAAUAUUUUAAGAAUAAAAAUUUUAAGUUCCAACAUUCUCAUAGGGCUAGUUAAGUGGUAACAUCCGAUAUCUCGAUCGAUUCCAUCUAGUUCAUCCAAUUAAUCAAUGACAAUCAAGAUUCACACUAGAAUAUUAGGUUGCAAUUAAUGAUAAAAUUUAGUAGUGCUCGACUUAGCCUGAACAAGGGCCGGCAUAUUGUUCGACAACUAUAGAUCAAGAUUUUUUCACCAUGAUCGAUCAAAAUCAUUGACAGAAAAUAUUUUCUAAAAUCCAAAAAAUCCUAAUAGAGAGAGAAAUCAUGCUGAGAGAGAGAGUCCAGAGAGAGAAAAUAGAGAAAUAAAGUAGAAAGAGGGAAGAAAAGAGAGAGAAACUUCUUUCCUUCUUUUUUUUUUUUCAUUGUUUUCCUCCUUUUUUUUUCCUUGGUUCCUUGACAAAACAAGGAACCUUUGGUCACCCCUCUUUUCAGGUAUAGGGGAGAGCUCCAGCCGAUAGAGGUCAUGGCUAGUGGUGGCAAUGGUUGUGACCACAAUAGCACAACCAAGGAUUCCUCACUCAGCAAUUGAUAGCAAAGAUGACCAAAGAAAAGGCAAAAAAAAUCAAAAAAAAAUCAAAGAGGAAAAAAAAAAGAGGAAUAGAGCACCCAUUUUCUCCACUAAAUAUGGCGAUUAGUCGGUCUCCAUGGGCUAAGAAGGAUAGAGAGGAGGAUUAACUAAAAGAUUAAGGAAUUUUUAUGUUACUUCCAAUAGUAUUUGGCUGGUUGCGAUUUUGGUGAGCAUAGUUAUGGACUUUCGAGAAGAAGAAAAGAAGAAAAUUCUAUCAAUUUAAUGAACUUCAGAUUCUCUAGUGUAGGAUGGUAGAGGGAGGUUCGGGUCCUUAAAUAGAACCAUGGGGAGGUAGAAUCCUCCUCAAUAUCGGCUUCCCUCCGGUGAAGUCAAGAGGAAGAAGUCCUAGGAGUCUUCUUCCAUUAUAUCUUCUUUUCUUUUUUUGAUCUUUUUCUGGUGUUUGGGCUGGUCAAGUGGACCAGACCCACUACUCCACUAGCCCAAUUGAGCUAGAUCAUCAUAUUAUAUCUUCCAACAUAUUCGAUGUGUGACCAGAAUCAUAAUUGGAAUAAAAUUUGAAUACUACGAAGAGUAAAAAUUGAUUUCAGAGGAUUAGACCAUUUCUAUUUCCUCAGAAUCGGAUUGAAUACGGAUCAGAUACCAGCAUAUCUAUAUCCAUACUUAUUUUAUCUAACAAAUACAAAUAUGGAUACAGACGUUAUUCGGAUGCAAAAAUUCAUAUCUAUAUUUAUUUUAAAUGGAUACGGAUAUAAUUCAGAUACUGAAAAUAUGACUAUAAUUAUAGAUAUAAGUUGGAUAAUUAAAUUUUAUGACUACGGAAUUAAAGAUGUUACUAAAUAGAUAAUAAAUCAAUUUAAUAAUAUAUUUAUAUAGUUGUAUAUUUUUUAAAAAAAUUAAUAAGUACUAUAUAAAAUUAUAUAUUAUCAUAUAUAGAUUCGGAUAUUCGGAUACAGAUCGGAUAGUUGUUUAUCUGUAUCUAUAUCUAUUCUCCUUUGACAGAUAUAAAUACAAAAUUGAAUACUAAUUAGAUCCUUAAAUUUCUAUCUAUAUUCAAAUUAAUUUAGAUAUAAAAAUAAAUUCAAAAAAAAUAUAAUCUGUACCAUUUUUUCCCUACUUGUUUGUAUACUUUUUUCGUUCACAAGUACCUCCCUACAUUGUUAUACUCGAUAGAGAUGCUAUAGCUAUAUAUGUGGUGUCUCUAUAAGGCAACCAUGAAGUGGAAUUCAUCCCCCAUCCCUUGCCAUGUUGACUACCAACCUGUCAAGUUGGAUGCAGUAUGUCAUGUGUUUAAUAGGCUUGUUUGUUACUUGUUCUGAGGACAACAAAUGUGAUCAAUGACACUGGUUUAUCCGUUAGAUAUUUAUACAGUGGCAUUUAGGCGAGGCGAAGAGCUUUGUACCACUAUAUGUGAUUAUAAAUUUUAUUGUAUUAUAUGACAAAAACCUGAGACUUUUGGGUAUGAUUGAGGAAGAACUGAAAUUUAUCACACCCAAUAUUGGAUCUUGGGAGGCACAGUUUGCAUGUCCUCAUCCCAAUAUAUUGGGUUAUCUUCAAUAAUAUUUAUAAUUAUUCGUUUUCCAAUAUGAUGGUCUCCCAGCCUUUUAUUUUUUUAUGAUCCAAUGAAUAGCUAUUAACUUGGAAAAAUUUCAAACAUUGAGAAAAUGAUUAAAAAUAAAACAAUUUCCAUCUCCAGUGACACAUUUAAAGUUUGGAGUUGACCAUUUUCCAUAGCCCACUUAUGAAUUACUCCAUACUUCAAAUAUUCUUGAUUUACCCAAAAAAGAAAAAGAGAUAUGAUUUCCUAAAUAAAAAUAACUAAUAGAAAUUAGGUAAGAAAAAUCAGUAGUUUAAAUAAUAUAAUAUUUAUAAAAAUUUAAACAUUAAAAAGGAUGAAAAAUGACUAGGAUACAGUGGGGGUAAUCUCACCCCUCACUGUAAGGGUGACCAUGUCCCAGCGCUUCAAGCUUCAACAAAACAACAGAAGUGAUUGGAAGUCACUUUUGGCUCCACCUUUAUUUCUACCAUCAAAAACAUGAAGAAUCAAAACUAAACUUUUUGUGCGGUUGUUUCCCACACAAACCAAACAAUAAAAUUACAUUUUUACUAAAAGCCACUUUUCAAAAGUUAUUCCAGAAAAUGAUAGCCUUCCAUUCGACCACUUUCCUGCAACCAAGCCACCCUACACCACCUGGUCUUUUGAGCUAAUCGAAACAUAGUGCAUGCUGAAUCUUAAGCUAAAUUUAACACUUUCAAAAGCAUAAAUUUUUUUGAAAAAUUGUAUUUUCUAGCUGUUUGAAUGAUUGGAAAACUAAAUUUAAAAAAAGAAAUAAAUUUUCCCAAAUUGACUAAAAUUUUCCUUUUGGAAAUAAAUUUUCUAAAAUUGGCUAUAAUUUUCCUUGAAAAAAUUAUGCACAUGCACAAGUGAGUCAUAAAUGAGCAGACUGUCCUUGAAAAAAUCUUUUAGAGAUUUCAAGUAGUGCCUUCUGUGGUUGUCAAGUGGUUAGUUCACACAAUAAAGUUUUAGGUGAUAAAACUUCCAAAUAAUGAUUUCUCCUUUAUCAUUAGGAUCUCAGAUGGUGUUCUUCCCAUCUCCUCUCUUUCUGAAUUAUCUUCCACAGCAACUUUCGAAUAAAACCAAAACUGAAAUCUCCUAGAUCAAUAAUCACACAGCCACCUUAACCUAUGGGUUUACAAAUCAUUCCCUGUUUUAUAAACAAAAACUGCCAGCCACCACAUUUUUGCCCCUUCCACAUAGAAGCUCAUCUUGUCUAUCUAGCAAGUCAACAAGAUGUUUAGGAAAGCAAACAUAUAACAAAAUGAGAGGCAGGAUAAUACUGAAUCUAGCCUUCCACCAGAUGAUAAAAUUCUAUGCUUCCAACCAUACAAUCUAGAUUCCUUGUUAACUACCGGCUGCCAAUCACAAAACUACCAAGUCAAAGAGACAGUUCCAUAUGCAUAACAUUCAACACCUUGCAAUUGAACAGAACUGUCAUGCACUCUGGAUUUUAUUCAUCUUCUCCAGAGGGAACCAGAGCUGGAAAACCAAGCACUUACAGCCUAAUUAACCUUCAAGCCUGAAAGGCAUUAACAAUGUAAAGUAAUGAAUGUGAGGCAUGCAACUGUCAUACCACCAGCUCACAAAAUAAAAAGGUCUCAUCCACAGAUUAUAAAGAGAGGAUACCAUCUCUCAACCUGUCUAACUCCUGCAGGACUUACGUGCAGGUUGCUAUCAAUUAGAGCUCGAAUCAGGCAGCCAGAACACACGUCCCUAUGCAAGGCCAGUCUGAAAUUCUAAAGUUUACAUAGCUCAAUAUUGUAUGUAGUGAAGCUUGGGUUGGCCCUUAAACUAAUCCAACCAACCUAAGCAGCAACCCUGCUACAAAAGGAGCCUUUCUCUAGUUGAAAGGCUUCUAAGGAAAAGGUCAGUAGUCAUAUAAGCUCUCUUUCAUAGCAUCAGGAUUUUUACAAAAACAAAAAAAGAAGAAGAAAAAAAACAAAGAGAGGUUAACUGAAGGUGCGUCUGAUGUUGGGAUCCGGCCCCUUUCUGGGAGGGAAGAGAGGAGGAACAAAAAACUGGCAUCUCAUGUAGUUGGAUGAACCGGAGUAUACCAUGAUAUUGGUAUACAGCCAUUUUAAAAAGCAAUCAACUAGGGGUCAUAAGAUGCCUAAGCUGAUUAAAUUCAUGCUCAGCAUAGAUAAGAUGCCUCAUGUACUUAACAUAUUGGAUGAUUACCUCAUUGAUUCUAUGAUGCAGACAGAUAUUAAACGGCACAUAAUCUAUUAGAUUAGUUUAUAACAUACAUGGUCAUCAUAUUGCCUGAACAAACCACUUGAUAUCAAGCAGAGAGCAUCUUUAGCAUCAAAUUUAUUUUAUGUAUAGUGCAAAAUCUCCUAAACCUAUUUAGUAUCAAAUUUAUCAAGUUUUCUGCACCACAUUACUCAAACUCAGAGCCAUUCAUCUAAAAGAAGGGAUAAAACAUGCCUUCUUCUCUAUUACAAGUCUAUCAAUAAUUCCAUUUUAAACUCAAAAAAAAAAAAGGAGAAAAUUGCCCAUUAUCUUGGUUAUGAGACACUUGCAUACAUUAGCUUUAUAAUGAGUGCCUAGAUAAAGAUGUCUCUUACAGAUUUAAACAUCAGCAUGUUAUGUCAUCUAUUCUGUAGCUAAACAUAUACCGCAUGCAUAAAUUGUACUUGGUCUGUAUCAUACAAAAGAUGCUUAAUCUAAUGCCUCAAUAAACUAUCAGAUUAGUUGUUUAAUUAAAUGAAAACUACACUCCAUACUAUAAGGAGAUGUAUAGAAAGAUGUUCCCUUAAUUUGCUUGUUGUAAUAAGACAAUCCAAUGGGACCAAGCCACUGAUGAUGACAUAAUGGAUUAUUUAAUACUGUAUGCAAUAAUGCGUGGUAUUUCACAUAUAUAAUUGGACAUACUUAAGAUGAUUAUGGUGUAGUAGUGCAUGAUUCCCAUCCUACUCCAUGGAUACUGCUAAACUCAUUCUACUACCAACACAUGGCCAACGGAGGCAGAUGAUAAGAAAAGGUGAUGGUGGUGGGUGCUAACACUAUUGCAUGGUCAAGGUCAGGGAUCACAUGACCUUGCCCAUUGUAACAUAUAGAAUCCAUAAUUAAAAAUAUAAAGCUGGAAGUCAUACAUUACUUAGCCAAAAACUGUGGGAAACCCAGCAGCAACCAGUGGAACAUCUCUAUAAUAACUCAGCACCAGCCUCAAAAAGAAAAGAAGCUACUAAAGAGAGGAAAAAACACCCACAAAAAAAUAUAUAACAAGGUAAUUUUUCAUAGUCUUUAAACCCCAUGACCCAAACAAAUUUACAAUAAGAAACAAGAACACUCAUUGCGGCUGCUUAAGGAUCUCUUUCAGCCAUUAAACAGAAGACAGCGUGCUGGAAAAAGUUACCUUCUAGAGAGAAUCUGAGAGGUCCGACGAGCACUUCUCCAUCUCUUCAUCAAACAGCAUCUCCUGGUAACGGCACUCACGGCUGCAGAAUGCUUUUUCACCUCUGAAAAAAAAAAACAAGAGCACACCUGAGUUCUCGUGCCAUGUGCCACGAUCUCUUCUUACUUAGAUUAGGAGAAGGAAAUCCUAGUAAACAAAGAGAGGAACCGACUAAAGAAGCAGAGGAUUAUCAAGCGUCUGCUUCCAAGGUGGUAUCCUAACCUUUACUAGAGCGGUAGAAUUAAGAUAUAUGUUAACAUGGAACCUAAGGGAAAUAUUUAAUUCAGAUAAGAAAUUAUGUUGAGAACACAACAAAGAAGGAAUAUGACAUGGUGAACAUAACAAGUUAGCCAUGCAAUUGCAACAUCCAUGGAUUUAAAGAUCAGACAGAAGAACUACAGAAUAAAGAGCAGAUCACUUUCAAAACAAACCAUCUUGAGGCACAAGAAGAGAAAGAAAAAGCUCUGAUUAAGGGUUAUCAGCAAUGCCUUCCCAAAAAUUUCAGACCCAAUAAUGAUUAAAUGGCAUGGGAACGUCAAGAGCAAUGACAGGUUUGGAAGUGGGAACUCAAAACACAAUUUCCACAUAGCCAAUAAAUAAAUAAACUUUGUUCUUGGAUACCAAAAGCAAGAAAGACUAAAAUCCUGCAUUAACCAAUAAUUGAUAUGGAUAUACCUACUAACAGCACAUAUGGCCGAUCGAAAAUAAGCUAUAGAUUCAGAAUUAUACUGGAGCAAGAGCAAUUUUUUCAUUAUAAGUGAAAGUUAAAUCCAGGUUAUGAUGAUCUUAUAACCACAUAGAAGGCUACCUUAUAUUCCUUGGAAGGUACCAAGUUGCAAGCACCAUAACUAGUUUUCAUAGAGCAGAUUAUGUUAAAAUUAGCAAACUAACCUACACUUGAAAUUCCUGUACAAGGUACCAAGUUGCAAGCACCAUAACUAGUUUUCAUAGACCAGAGUAUGUUAAAAGUAGCAAACUAACCUAUACAUGAAAAUGUCUUUCCCCUGCCCCAGAUUCUUCCUGCAAGCAUAGCAGUAGCUCAAGAAAUCAUCUGAAGUAUAGCCCGAAUGGUCAGCCAAGGAACUGCCCUCCUUCCUCAAAGCAACGAAUCCAUCACCACAGCUCUCCACUAUGCAAUUGUCAAAGAUGUGAGUGGUCCUUGGGUUUGGACCACGAGAAAUCACACAAGUAUAGUCCUCUGAGAGCUCCAUCUCACUCGGGGAGAGGCGCACGGUAACAAGGCGAGGAGAAGAAGUUAGCACAUCAGCUUCCAUGUUGGCCGAGCCCAUCGGAGAUCUUCGGGCAGGAGAGUAUAAAGCCAACUGAGAAUUCUUAGUCUUGACACCAAAUUCUAUUGGUGAGUGAGGAGACUCAAUGGAACCAGAUGGAGAUAUGGAGCUGGAUCGAACAAGGGGAAUCUGAAUUUUAAGCUGCGAGCCAAACAUCACCAUCCUACUCUCUGGCUUGGAGGUCUGAGUAUCAACUUUCUCAUUGUUGAGAGCAUCAACAAGGCCAAGUCCAAUGGCUUUUGAGUCUCCACUGUCCCAAGGGUGAUGUCUGUCCUCGUCCGCAGUAGUCGUAGCAAUGGCAUUUUUGAUAGGCCUUCUUUGGUUCCUGUCAGUGAAGAAGGGGUUCCCAAUGGUAGAGGACGGUUUGGUUUCUAGAAUGGAGGUUGGGCUCAUGACAGCCUCACCGUCUGAGGCACCCUUUGGAGAAAAGCCUGAAAAGAGCCUUGGAGAGGCGAAGAGAGAGGAAAAUGUGGGCCUUCUAUUGUUGGCAGUGGGAGAUGGCAAGCAAGUGUCAUCCGACAUGAGGCCUUGGUUGUUGCUAAAUGCUCUAGACCUCCUCCUCAGGGUAAUGUCUUGCAGCUUUAAUCUCAGAAACAUAGACAGAGAACUGCAAUGGAAAGACAGAAAGAUUUAAUACUUCAUAUAAAGAAUAAUUGGAACAAGAUUCUCCUUUUUAUUUCUUUCUAUAACUUUUUCCAACUCCAAAAGGUUAAUGAAAAAACAAAUAAUAGCAACUCAAUUGGCAUUAAAACAAUAAGAGCUAAUGAUAUUGUCCAGCACUAUAAAAACCAUGAGCCCACCUAGGCUGGUUGGGGAAUCCUCCUCAGUGAUUCAUCAAAGGUAAGCAACCAUAUCGCUCUGCAACCAAAAAAAUGGUAACCAAUAUCCAGGAUAGCAGAAAAGACCCAAAGGUCUCCUUUUUAUUCCUUUUUCUGUUUCCCCCUCUAUGGGUUUCUUUUAUAAAAACUCCUCAGACCAUAUGCUACCGAGCUUUAGAACAGAGAAAAUUGGAUCUUUAAGCUCUUAUACCAGAAGAACAGAAGCAAAACGGUAACUGGAAAAAGAAAAACAAAAAAAUCUACACCAAUCCACCUGCUAUUCCAGUCCAGCAAGAAGUUUCUAAACUUCAAAUCAAAAGAAUAUCCAACUGCUACAAACUCUUAAACAAAGCCAGAAAUCAAAUAUAAAAUCACCAAGGAACUUGACUAUUUCUAUCUACCGCACCCAAAAACAAAACUAAACCAAAACCAACCCUUUCCAGAAAACAAUAAAGAUCACCAAACAAGACAGAUUCUUUGGAAACAGUUUGUUAACACCAAUAUAAACGAUCAUCUUUCACAACAACCCAUGAAAACAAAAUUUAAGAGCAAAUAAAAUCCUUUGCACUUCUCCUUUGUUUCGCUCUGCGGUAACCCUCUCACUCUCUACGAUCAACACCGACCCAACAAAACCAACAAUCCGACUAAACUAAGUUGGACACUAAAAUCUAAAAGAAACACAACAAAACCCAAAACAUCAGCACCUAAAUCCCGAAAAUCCAAACUUUACUUCGAAAGACCUAUAAAAAUCUCACCUUUCCACUUCCUUCCACCUCUUCGUACAUAAUUAACGGACCAAAAAACCAUAAAAAUCGCACCUUUCCACCUCCUCACCCCACUCGACUACUAAAAACUCAUCAAGUUCCGUUCCUUCCUCUUCUCAUAGUUUAUUUCUAACUCCAUAAGCGGUAUAGUAUACGGCCAGCCCUGCCAAGUCUAUUACGGGAAGCCCAGGGCCUGAGGAGUUCAUCCGUCCUCGAACCAGAGCCAAUUUAAAGACGAAACCGGUGUUCGGGGGGUGGGGGGGAGGGAGAGGUGGUUUCGUUUGGUCGUUUCUUCAAAACCGCUACCUCUUCGAUACGAGCAGCAGUUUUUUUUCCCACAGAAAAGACCUCUCCCCUGCUUUCCUCUGGGCCCUUCUGGUUAUAGUAACCACCCUUUCAGAAAAUAAUCUCACAUCUUCCUCCAUUGGCGAGCAAACGUUCACCAUGUUAGGUGGGGGACCACCACCGCGUAAUGUUUCUUUCACCCCUUCAAACAAUUGUUUCGUAGAUUAUUUGUUGCAAGGGUUGUCAUUAUUGUAUGCAUAUUUUUCUCUGAUGUUCUUCCCUCUUGGCUCUUUAUCUUGUUCUCCGUAGGCCUUUUUCUGCUUUCCUUGGGAGGAGAUCCGAUCACUCGCGGUGUGAUUACCUUCAUAUAUGACGAGCCGCUGAUUGCGUCGGGGACUCGGGUGGCAGGUGGUGUAGUUAGUGGGAGGUGGGGAUAAAUCGUUUCGGCAGAGGAGUGAAGGCGAGGUGACGACACGUUAAGAUUUAUAUCCCGCGCAGUACGGGCUCUGCAUGCGUUUCUUUUUUUUUUUUUAGGAAAAGCAGUCAUAAACAAACAAAAGUAGAGAACGGCUCGGCUCAGUCAUUCAUUGGCUAAAGGUGUAGAGUUUUUUUUUUUUGGUGAAGCAAGAGUUUGGAACCAUUGAGUUUUUCUAUUCUUGUAAAAGAUAAAUCCUUUAAGAUCCAAAAUUAUUGCAAUGGCAGGACUCAAAACUCAGUUUACUCAUAUUUAAUCUCUAGUGAUUUCACUAACUGAAUUUAUUGUCACCACUCACCAUCAACUUGCAUAAUCCUUGAAAAUCUAUUAAAUACUAUCCAUUGAUUAUUUGGAGAAAAACAAUCUUCACAAGCUCUUGCCAAAAGGUCAAAAAAAUGGGUGAUCACCUUUGUAGAAUAAAGAGACUAUGAAUUAUUUUAUUAUGCAUUCUUGAUAUAUUAUAAAUUAACAUGAUUUUCUUUAACAUUCACUACUAUGAAAUGAUAGAUUGAUAUUAUAAUUUAUUUUUUCUUUAAACUCUUACCUUAAUAUGACCCACAUAUAGUAAUUUAAUAUAAAUAAUAAUUCUUGACGAAGUAAUUGAUGGCAGAGCAUCAAUAUAUUAAUCGAAAGAUGUCAAUGAAAUAAAUCCAAAUCAAAGAUAUAAAAAUUAUUGAACAAGUUCUACCCAAUGAGAUAUAUGAAAUUAGAUUGAUGGAUCGAUCCAUCGAGAUGCCUACAUCAACUUUUAAUAUUGAAUAUAGUCUAGACAAUCCUUAAAUGAUUAAUCUAUUUGUAAAUAUAAUGAUGCAAAUUUGAUGCAAGAUAAAUAAUAUGGAGUCCUUCGUUCCACCCAUAUGACCUACAUUGUUAUGCAUCGAAAGAUCAUAAUAAAAAAAAUCCAAUGAACUGCAUAAAAGCUAUAAUAAUUCUAGAAAACUAGAGAAUUUAUAAUAUCAAGGUCUUAAUCUUUUCUUUCUUAUUAUCAAAAAUAAUAGUAAUAAAUAAUAAUAAUAAUAGUUCAAAUUAAGUAAAUUUAAUUUUGUGUGACGGUCUUGAUGCAGUAAGGUUUGCUGUAUAUAAGAUAAUGGAGCAUGCAAUAUAUGAGCCUUGUUGCAUCAUGUCUGUUAUGUAAAAUAUGGAUUGCAGUGAUUGACCAACUUAUCUCUCCAGUUCUAAAUGUAAGAGGAUCAACUCAAAUAACAUGGAGCUUUCUAUCCAAAAAAAAAAAUAAAAAAAUAACAUGAAACUCUUUUUUUCAUUACGCUAAUGAAAACAACACUUAGCCCACUAAACCCAAAGUCGAUGGCUCGGCUUGAAUAUACGGAGCCGGACCCUGUAAGUUCACGGACUUUCCUGCAGAUUCGCACGGUCACAUUGUUCCUCCUUACUCCUAGCCGGGUCCCACUCAACUCCCAGUUUUACCUCUUUUCCAUAACUACCCUUAAAAUUUACCGCAAUUACAAAAGUUUAGACGGUGGUCCAUACGUAAAUCACUUGUCUGCCAGUGACAUACUCUUCCAUUGGGUCCCAGCUUAUCCUCCCAUCCCUUAUCCUCUCGAGGGCAGUUUUUGUCGUUUAGCUCCAAUUUACAGUUCUGUCCCUCCUUUCUCAACGUCCCCACACGCGUGCCGGAGAACAGGAUUGCCGCGUGUCCAGUAAACGACGGCCUCGAACGCGACAUGGGUUUAGGGUUGUAUCCUAUUUUCCACAAUUUGCAACGUAUGAUAGAUCACUUCCUUCAAUCCGCGCUUUCUAAACGGGGUAAAAUGCGACCUAACCGCGGAGACCACGAGAGAUGCAAUCCAAAUUUCGGAGAUGGGCAAUCUAAAUUUCGGUUGAAAUUUUAUCGGAUACGGAUCAAAUAUCAAUAUAUUUAUAUUUAUAUUUAUUUUAAAUAAAUAUAAAUAUAAUUUAGAUAUAAAAAAUAUAAAUAUAAUUACAAAUAUAAUUUAAAUAAUUAAAUUUUAUAAUUAUAAAAUUAAAAAUAUUAUUAAAUAGAUAAUAAAUUAAAUUAAUAAUAUAUUUGUAUAAUUAUAUUUUUUUAUAAAUUAAUAAAUAUUAUAUAAAUUUAUAUAAGAUUGUAUAUAGAUUCGAAUAUUUAGAUAUGGAUCGAAAAAUUAUUUAUUUAUAUUUUAUUUAUUUAUUUUUUAUAAAUAUAAAUUUAGAUAUAUAUAUUAAUCGAAUUCUAAAAUUUUUAUUUAUAUCUAAAUUGAUUCAGAUAUAAAAAUAAAUUUAAAUAUAUAAUAUUUAUAUCUCUCACUCCUAAUUCAAAUCGUUGGACAUACGGGGCCAUGCGUUUAGACCCAGGUCCGGUCCAAGAGGGUCCCAUGGCACGGACCCGGUUCAGUCAGACCGGAGAGCAGCGUGAGGAUAAUGAUAUUCUAAGACAUGCAUUCAAAAGUAGGGGACUGUUACCCAUCCGUGAGACAGGGCAUUAAAAGUGGCGUUGGUUAUGUAUAUUAUUAUUUUAAGAGAAAUAGGAUAACUACUGUCAGCGUUUCAAGUUAAAACUUUGUUUAAAAAAAUGGUCGGUUUUGCGGGUAGUUACGAGGUAGAUUUGGAGAACGAUUGAAUGCCCGCUCUGAUGCAAUUAUUGCUUGCCUAGAGAAGUCUAGCUCAUAGGCAUUACUGCAUUGGUGAGGGCCAUCCAUGGCCAUGCCUCUGAUGGUGGUGGCAUGGUGGAUAUUUUUGCAGAUGUAAUGAUACUUAAUAAUGGAGCUGAAGAAAAAGGGAGUGGGAUUUUUAACUUGGCUUGUGGUGUAUUGGUGGUGCAAAAGGUUACCCAAGUUAAAUGUGGUUGCACUUCAGCAAGAGGUGGUUUAGGAAAGCUUGGCCUUGAUGAGUUAAGCUGCUAACUAUCGUACAAUGCACACUUUGGCAUUGGGCCAUGUUUUACUUUAGGUCAACAAAAGUACCCUUCUUAUUGAGCAGUUAGUCUUUGAGCAGUGUUAUUGUCCUUCUUCUUAGCGGGGUAGAAAAUAAUGUCCCAUGCUAUUUAAAUUGGAUCAUUAUCUUGUGUUUCUUUGUAGAUAUAUUUCGAGACUAACUAAUACUAGUACUCGAAUUGUUAAUUAAGUUUUCAUUAUUAUAAUUUUUUUCAAUAAAAAUAAAACUUUGCAUUAAUUUCAUGAUGUAACAAUAAAUAAAUGUUUAAACAUAUUCUUGAAACUAAUUGAUAGCAAAAAUAACCACUAUAACUUUAUUCUAUAAAAAUAUAAUAUGCUUUAUAAGACAUGAUUUUGGCAAAACCCUCUCACAAAAGUAUAUUUUCCAUUUAAAGGAUCAUUAUAAGAAUGCUGCAAAAAUCGGUAGAAGUAGUGAGUAAAUUAACUUUAGGAAUUAUAGAAGAUCAUCUUCAUCUGUAGUACAAGCUCAUAUAGUGAUGUAGCAUGGAUCCAGGAAUCCACCAGAUCCAAUGAUCGAAGCUUGUCAAGUCUACAUGGAACUAACAAAAUCUUUUUGAAUUCAUUACUUUUUGCACAAAUACUUGGACUCCGUAGAAAAGUCUCUUCUAGAUCUACCAUUGAUAUUUCAUGACACUUGGUCAAAUUCUUAUAUAUUCUGGAUCAAAAGCGACUAAAAAUUUCAAUUGUAAAUUCCAUGAUGAAUUUAUUCCAAAUUUAGAGUUUCAGUAUGUUACUAGUCCUUUGAUUAGAUGUAUACUACAUAAGCAUUCGAAACCCAAAAUACAAGGGUGUAUCUUGAAACCUCCAGGAUAGGAGAAACCUAUCCAUGUAUGGAUAUAUACCUUAAAUUCGGAUUGGCAACCUCUGCAAUCGGCCAAAGUCCCCAACGGUUAACAACGCAAGGGAAGAGACCCUUUUCACAGUCUAUCCUCAAAAUAUAAGAGACACCAUAAUACAAUAAGCUAUAAGAGUUUGUAUCAUAUAGGUCAUUACUAAUGAUUAAAAAUGAGUUAUGGUAAUAUUUACAUCUAGUAUAUGAUCAUCCUUUUAUAGCAUAACUUUUCAAUCAUUGACUUGUCAGGGAAUUGUUGUACAAGAAAUUGUGGGAGGGAGGGGACUUUAGUUUGAUAUGCAAACCUACUUGAAUCACUGAAAAUUAUCUUAAUUGUCUUUCAACAUUAUAAUAUAAAGUUUAAGAGCUUGUCCUACUUUUCGUCUACCCAUGUUUCAAAUGCCAUAACUCAUCACCAAUUAAUCUAAAUUAAUUUUAUCUUUUUCAAUAAAAAAGGUUAGCUAACUUGACUCCUUUUGACAUAUUGUUGGCUCCUCUUCUCAGAUUGAGAUGGUACGAAAGAGGUUGAUGGCUAAGCUUGGAUAAGUAUGCCAGCAUACUAUUCAGUUUCCAACUAGAAAGGAGUAAAUGAUAGUGAGCCCUUACUUUCUUGACCUUUAAAGGCUUUUGCUACUGGGUACCAUCUUUUGGGGAUAGGAGCAGUAGCUAGGAGCUACAAUUUAUGAACUAGGAAAUAUGAACUAAAGGAUAAAAAAUAACUACAAGAUAAAUGAUACAGUGGGGAUCAUUUUUAGAGUUUCAAUUUAAUAUUUAUAUAAUUCUUCAUUGACUGUCAGGCAGCUUGUCCAUUCUCAAUGUUGAUAUUUGUUUGGUUCGGUGGCUGUCACUUGAUCCACUUUCUUCUGCUAGUUACUGUAGUUGGUUCCAACCAUAUCUCCACUUUCCACAUAUCAAUCUUUUGUUAAUUAUUUCCGCCUCUUAUAUCCUGCUUUCGAGACCUCAUCCAUUAUUAGGCUGAUAUUUUAGCAUAAGGCAUGAUCAGCUUUUUAAAUCAAUAUAUUCUCUCAUAUAGGUUGUCUUCAUAAUUGUCUUGUACUGAUAACCUUUCUAGAGAUCAGCCUAUAUCUUAAGUGACCACUUAGCUUGGUUCAACUAACUCUCUUUAGACGUAGCUUAGCCUAUCUUAUAUGGCAUCUCAUGGUAGCUAGUCCAUUCAACCUAGUAGCAUUUGAUUCCUAAAUUUGGCCUUGUGCUAUCAUUCUAGCCGAUCUUCAUUAUGUACAUGAUCUCAUCGAACACUUAACUCUAGUUAGUGGUUUCUGUACUCAUUUUGUUAAAUCAGCCCUAAUCGAACACUUAACUCUAGUUAGUGGUUUCUGUACUCAUUUUGUUAAAUCAGCCCUAAUCCUUUAGCUUGCUUUUCAUUAUCAAGCAAGAGUCUCUCAUUAUUAUCCGAUUUCUAAAAUCUCGAUAUGGCCAUCAUCCAACUUUCUUUAGGCUACCAUUAUGGGUUAAGAUGUACAUAACCAUUCAAGCCCAAGAACCCAAGCUAACAUGAGUUACAUUAUGAUGCUGCUUGUAGUUGUAAUUUGGUUAUGGCAAUUUUAACAGGUCAUAUAAAUCUACUAUCUUUCUACUCCUCCAGGGCCAACGAAUGAAAGUUCUUCAUAUUAACUCAAAGCCAAAAUACUAUUUCAUCCAAGAGAAAAGCCAGAAUUAAUGCUAUUUUAAAGGCCGUAAGCAACUCAUGGCCUGAGCAAUUACACCGAGGGUGGGUCUCCCUCUUAAUUUAUCACACACACACACAUAGAGUGCUAUAAAUAUGGUCUGAAUGGCAUAGUAUUUUGUUCUUUGAUUAUAGAUUGGGCUAAUAAUAAGGUUGCUCCUCAAUCAUCCAAUGCUAAACUGUAGAAAAUCACCACUAAAUUCGUCCUAAGGAAAAAAAUUAAAAUAAUUAGACAUAGGAUUAUUUACAAGAAAAAAAGAAUAAAUAUAAAUAAUAUAAAUGAUGCUGGUCUUAUUCUGAGGAGGAGAUUUGGUGGAAGGGGUUGUGGCUAUGAGACAGUAUUCAGAUAAGUGAAUGCAAGAUAGAGAGCUAAACUUAUCACCCAUCAUCACUUGGAGUAUUUUUUUUUUUUUUGUCAUUUCUAAAGUGUAGGCCUACAUCUUAAAAAGUGGAAGGGGUUGUGAACUUUGGUUGGUUUAGGAGGCUCAACAUGACCAUUACAACAUACAAAUUAAAAUAUUAGAGCAAUAAACUAAGCAUGACAACAUCCUCGUUAGAAAGAGAAAGCAAAGGUAGUCUUUGCUAAGGGUCACAAGAUUGAAAAAAUAUCACCAUAGGAAGAGCAGAUGGAUAGGUCCCACUUGUCUUUGGCCGCAACUUAUGUUAGUUGGGUCUUAAACCAAAUACUGACCCCAUUUAUUAAUAAUUUGGUUUGGUUAAUUAGGCAGAGUUAAGUUGGAUCAGAUCUACCCCAAGGGAUUUCAUUUUAUAAAAUUUAUAUGCUACUAUAAAGAAUGGCAAUUUAUAAUCUGAUCUAUCAAUCUAACUCACAAAUAAUCCACUUUGAGCAGGUUUGGAUUUGAUAUAAAUGAGUUUAAAUCAUAAAUGGGUCAACACUUCUAGAUUUGUUUAUUAAAUGGGUUGGAUUCAAGUUUUGACUUUUGAACUAUUUAAUUUACUUUGAUCUAUCUAAUAAUUAGAUCGAAUUAUAACCUGAUUCAUUUAACUUGUUUAAAAUCUACUUAACCUAUUUCUAAUCGGUUUAACUUGAUCCACUUAAUCUAUUUAACCCAUUUAAUCUGACUUAACUUAUUUAGAGUCGAGUCAAAUUAUCUAUUUAAUAAAUAGGUCAGAUUUAGAUUUGAAUUUUUGAUCUAUUUAAUGAAUAGAUUAGAUUUGGAUUGACAAAUUUUUGAUCUGAUCCGCAUUUGAUCUGAUCUAUAUCUAACUCCACCCGAUUUGAUUGCUACCCUUAGCUACAAUAUUGAACCUAUAUUCACACACAUGCACAUAUAUAUAUAUGCAUAAAGAGAGAGAGAGAGAGAGAGAGAGAGAGAGAGAACUGGAUUUUGCUAUACUUGAAUAAAUACCUACUCAGAUCCUAUCAGAUCUAUAUUAAAUAAUAUUAGAACCAAGGAAGAGAAAGAUAGAAAGUUUGAAAAUAAAGAUGGCUUCAAGAUGUGUAGUACUGCCAUUUUUCUUAAGAUUUUAUUCGUCUCCACCGAUCAAGUAUGCAACAGAAAUAUGCGAUAAGCUUUUAGGAUAAAAUGAAAUACAAUAUUUGAUUAUGUUUUGCACUAAUAGGUCAAACGACGAGCCUUUCACCAGUGUCUACAGAAGCAUGUUGAUUUGAGAAAGUUGGAGUCGGGAUUGUUGUUGUGUUGGAAAACCAAUAGACUAUUUAUAGAGAAAUCCAUGCCUACUAAGAUGGCUGUUUCUUUUGAACUCACGAUAUUUUGAAAAAGAUGCCAACUAACUGGCUACCAAAAUAAUUGAUUAGUUAGGAUACAAAACAAAACAUUAAAGUUUUUAUUAUUUUAAAAAUAUCUAACAAUCUCCCAUAAUUUUCAGAAUAAGUUAAUUUUAUCAAAUCAACAAUAAUUCUGGUAUCUUAUGCAUAAAUGAAGAUGUCUUGCAAUUUGAAUCUUCGAUUAGUGAGGAUAAGUUAAAACUAAUCAGAAUGGUAUGGUAAACUAGUCUUUGAACCAAUGAUUCUAUUUUAACUAGUUGAACAUAUCUUCACCUAUAAAAUGUUUGCAUCAGUAAAUGCUCAAUAUAAGCUAAUACUUUUAUGGUUGUGUAUCUAUAUCAUUUUCAUGAGUACUUUAAGAGCCAAACUCUUAGAUCCAAGAAGUGGCCUCACUUCACACUCACAUAAGUAGACUUUACCAAAAGAGCCUCCGUAACCAAAGCACUUUAACAAAAUUCUGUUAUAAGUUUAUUAAGAGUAUUUAGUUUAUCCUUCUAUUUAUACAUAGUGGGUACCAAACACUUUCAUCUUGGGAUAAUAUUAAAUUAUAGUGCUUGCAAUCACUCUUAUGUAUUUUAUCUUUUAGAAAUCAAGACUUGAUGUUAUAUUAAGCAUUGAGUUGGGGUUCCAUCAUUGGUGAUUUUAAAAUAUGAGCAUGAGUCCCAUCGUUUUUGAUAUUUUAAACAUCAAAUCUCUAGCAAGUCCCUUUGUUAAUGAAUCUAUCAAAUUUUGAAUUAAUCUUACAAAAUCAAUAGUGAUCACUCCAUUUGUAAUUAAUUGUCUUACAUAACUAUUCCUUAGUUCAACAUAUCUAGACCUUUCAUUAUAUACUUCACUAUAUACUCUUGAUAGUAUAGUCUCACUAUCAUAAUAUAUAGAUAUAAGUGGCAAUGAUUUAGACCAUAAAAAAAUCUCGUAUAAGAGAUUUCUUAACUAUUCAACUUCUUUACUUACUGAAGCUAGAGCAAUAAAUUCUAAUGCCAUGGUGGUGCCUGCUAUAAAAGAUUGCUUCUUAGAUCUCCAAGAAAUUGCAUCCCCACUAAGCAUGAAGAUCCAUCCAUUUGUUGAAAUAUAAUUUUUUUUAUUUGUAAUCCAAUAGGCAUCCGUAUAUCAUUCUAAAAUAGAAGAAUAUCUGCUACAACAAAUGCCAUAAUUCAUAGUUUUCUUUACAUACUUUAGAACUCUAUGUAUAAUAUAUCAAUGUAAAUUACUUGGAUUACUUGUAUAUCUACUUAACUUUCCAACAACAAAAGCAAUGUCAAGUCUAGUACAAGUUACAGCAUACAUUAAGCAUCUAAUAACUUUUAUAUAUUCUAAUUGCAUAAUAAAUUUAUCAGUAUUUGAAACUAAUUUAAGAAUAGGAUCAAAAGAUGUUGAUGCAGGAAUACAAUCUAAAUAGUUAAAUUUCUUUAGUACUUUAUCUAUGUAAUGAGAUUGAGAUAAAAUUAAACAAUCAUUAUCUUUAAAAAUUCUUAUUCCUAAUAUAACAUCAGCUACACUCAUAUCUUUCAUAGCAAAACUACAAAAUAAAAAUCUUUUAGUAAUCACAACUUAUUUUAGAUUAGUACCAAAAGUUAACAUAUCAUCUACAUAUAAACAAAUAAUUUUUCAUUACUGAAUUUACUAUAUACAUAUUUAUCAGAUUAAUUUAUUUUGUAAUCAUUAGCAAGCAUAAUUUGAUCAAAUUUUUGAUGUCAUUUCUUAGGAGCUUGUUUUAAUCCAUAUAAAGACUUAAUAAAUUUGUAUACUUUAUAUUCUUGUCUAGGAACUACAAAACCCUCAGGUUGUUUCAUAUAUACUUCUUCAUCUAAUUUAUCAUUUAAAAAUAUAAUUUUUACAUCUAUUUGAUGAAUAACUAACUUAUAAAUAGAUGCAAGAAAAAUUAGUAAUCUAAUAAUUGCAACCCUUACUACUAGUGCAUAUGUAUCAAAAUAAUUAAUUCUUUAUUUUUGCAUAGUCUUUAGCUACUAAUCUAGCUUUGAAGUUAGCAAUAGUUCCAUGUACUUUCAUUUUCUUCUUAAAAAUUCAUUUACAACCAAUUGGCUUAAAACCUAGUGAAAUGUCAACUAAUUUUUAUGUAUUAUUAUCCAUAAUGAAUCCAUUUCUUCAUUAAUACCUUCUUUCCAAAAAGCAGCAUCUUGAGAUUUCAUUAUCUCUUCAUAAGUUAUUGGGUCUACUUCUGUAUUAAACAAUAUGGUAUAUGCUUACCAAAGAAUUUUCUAGUCUCUUCCAUCAGGAAUGUAAAGAAAUCUGAUCCAAAGAUUUUUGCUUUUCUAACUCGUUUACUUCUUCUAGAUUCAAAAUUUAUUUUCUUCUAGAAGAUGAACAUGUUCUUUAAAUCUAUGAAUUGAAUUAAAUCUAUUUCAUCAAAUAUAGCAUAUCUGAACUCAAUCAUAGUAUUGACUGCCAAUGAGUCAUUAGAUUUUAUGACCAUGAACCUAUAUAUCUUACUAUUUUGUGCAUAUUCUAGAAAUAUGCAUUCAAUUUCUCUUUCAUCUAAGUUUCUUUUUUUGGAUUCAGGAACUCUUAUAAUAGCCCUAUAUCCUCACACUCUUAAAUAGUUUGGGUUAGGCUUUGUUUUCUUUAGAGUCCAUAUGGGGUCGUAUUACUUUUUUUAUUAAGCACUUUAUUUAAUAUAUGAAAUGCUGCAAUUAAAGCAUUUAAAUCAGAAUUAGAUAGCAUUGUAUUAACCAUUUUUGCAAGCACCUUAUUUUUUCAUUCUACCUUACCAUUUUAUUAUGGUGUAUAAGGAGCAGAAGUUUCAUGAACAAUUUCAAUAGAUUCAAAAUAACAAGAAUCAUUGUAUUCACCUCCUCUAUUAAUUCUAAAAUUUUUAAUGAAAGUUUUACUAUACAAUUCUACUUUAGACUUAUAAAUUUUAAACUUUCUAAUACUUGAUUUUUAGAAUUGCUAUAAGUAAAUAUAAUAAUAUCUAGAAUAAUCAUCUAUAAAAGUUACAUAGUAUUUUUUUCUCCUAUGGUUGGUGUAUUAUGCAAAUCACAUACAUUACUAUAUACUAAUUCAAGCAAUUUUAUACAUCUUUCUAAUUUAGGAAAAAUAUUUCUAGUAAUCUUAGUAAGCAUGGAUAGUUUACAUUUAUCAAUUGUUUCAUCAAAGUAUGGAAUUAAGUCAAGUUUAACCAUAUCAUUCAUUCUUCUAUAAUUUUCAUGACCUAAAUGAUUAUGCCAUAAAUAAAAAAAUUAACAAUAUAAGCAUAAGAAAUUUUAUUCUUAUUAAUAUUAAGCUUAAACAUGCCCUCAUACAUAUAGUCUUUUGCCACAAAGAUUCCACCCUUAGAUAAAAUAAAUUUAUUUGUCUCAAAUACUAAUUUGAAUCCAAACUUGUUGAGGAGACUACCGGAUAUAAGGCUUUAAUAUUAAUUUUUGAUAUCAUUGCAGCAAAGUUUUUUUAUUGUUGGUGCAUUCUUCCUUUUGAGAAGGUGGCAUUUUGCCAUGUGGUGUCCAGAUUUUUCAUAAUAAAAGCAUGCAUCUUUCUUCAUUUUGUUUUUAUGAGUAAUGGUAGAUUGAUAGGCUCUCUUCUUUGUGAGUUUGCUAAUAUGAUUUUUCUCCACUACAUAGACUUUGGUAACAUGAGCAUUUUACUCCUUAUUUUCAUCUUGCUUAUGGUAUUUCUCCUUAAUACGAAGAUGGUUACCCAAGUCCGCCUAAGAGAUAUCCUUUUUCUUAUACUUUAGACUUCUUUUAAAGUCUUUCUAUGAUGGAGAAAGUCUAUCAAUAAUAAAGGGCAUAGUUAUGGUUUCAUUCAUGUGCAUGUUAUGCAAUUUAUAAUUAUUAAGAAUAUAUUCUAUCUCAUAUAAUUAUUUCAUAACAGAUCUAUCAUCAACCAUCUUAUAAUUAUUAAAUAUGCUAACAAGAAACUUCUUAUUGGUUACAUCCUCUCACAUGUAUCUUCCUUCAAGUUUCUUCUAUAAUUCUUUUGCAAUAGCCACGUUCUUAGAGGUAUUGAAGAGCACAUCUGAUAUUCCAUUCAGAAUAUGACAUCUACAGAUGUAGUUAUCAUUAUCCCAUUUUUGUUGGGUAUAGGUUUCUCUCAUAAUAUUGUCAUCAUUCUUUUUUGGAUUUGGUGUGUUGAGGACAUAGAUAAUUUUAAGAGUUAUAAGAAGGAAGUGCAUCUUCUUUUACUAUCUCAAAAAAUUUUCUACUUCAAAACACUCUAAUUUGAUAAUUUGUAGCCAUCUCUCAAAUUGUUGCAAACGCCAUUUGUUGUAGAAUGUAAUAAAUCCUUAGGAAAUUAAGAUCGUUAGAACCAAUGCAGAAAAAUAUAAAAAGUUUGAAAAUAAAAAUGGCUUCGAGGCUGCAGUAUUGCUACUUUUCUUAAGGCUUUAUUCGCCCCACCAAUUAGGUAUGCAAAAGAAAUUCGCAAUACAAUGAAGCCUAAUAUUUGAUCAUGUUUUGCACUAAUGGAUCAAACCAAUGAGCCUUCACCAGUCUAUAGAAUCACAUUGAUUUGAUUGAAUUAGAGUUGGGAUUAUUGUUAUAUUAAGAAAUCAAUUGGCUAUUUAUAGAGAAGUCUUCAUCCAUUAGGAUAGUCACUUCUUUUUAUGAAGAGAUGCAAAAUACAUAUUUUUUUCAGAAGUGCACGUCUUUCCAAUAGAAAGAUCCCAACGGAUACAUCCCUUCUCAUAUACAGCAGUUGGAUACUUCUUUUCACAAAAAAAAAUGAUAGAAAUAAUAAGAAACUUUGAUUUUCAAAGUAUAAAUCAUUUUAUUUGAAUUUUUUAAAAAUUUAGAAUCCAUCCAAAACUUAUUUCUAUUUAUUUCAAGAGAAAUCAACCACAACAUAUGACUGGUUGAGAUAUAAAACAAAAUAUUAAAACUUAUAUUAUUUUGAAAAUAUCUAAUGAAUAAUAGAGGCCCAUGUCGAUAUUUCAAGAUGUUAAAUAUGAUCUACUACUUUCAAACUACCUAUAUAUAAAAAAUUAUGUGAUUAAAGGCUCCAAGCUAUACAUCAAAUAAUCAAAAAAUAUAUAUAAUUUAGUAUUAUUUAAAUAAUUCAUUUUUAAAUCUCUUGAUAUAUAGACUAGAUUUCUUUAAAUUACAUAAUUUUUGAUAUAUAAGUAAUGUAGAGAUGGUAGAUCAUAUCAAAUAAUUUGGAUCAUUGAAAUGGGACCCCAACUCCUGAUCUAGACUUGAUAGAAUCCAAAUAAAGAUACAUUCAAAUAUAACCCACUCUCCCUCUCUCUCUCUCUCUCUAUGUGUUCGUGUGUGUACUUCCNNNNNNNNNNNNNNNNNNNNCCACCUCUCCCUCCUCUCUCUCUCUCUCUAUGUGUUCGUGUGUGUAUUCCUUUGGUUCUUACAAGUCCAAUUUCAAGUCUUUACGGAAUCUCAAUCAGGUUUUGGUCCCAAUCAAAUGCCGACUUGACAGUCUAACCGGCAACUCUGGUCAUCAUCAUGGUUGCUAGAUUAGAUGGAGUAAAUGGGCUUAGCACUUGCAUUUCAUGAUAUCAUGCUUGCUCGAGGGAAUUUAUUUGGAAUAUGGAAGUAAUCAAAGAGAAAUUUUUUAUACACUGUACACGGUGAUUGGCUUACGUAUGGGGUCGGAUAAAAAAAAAAUUUCGCAUCACUGUCCGAUUCUACACAUAAGUCAAUCACCGUAUGCGGUGCACAAAAAAUUUCUCAUAAUCAAAAUAUUAUAUAAGCCUCGUACACUUUGGUGGAUGGGAUGGCAGGAGGGCCGCAUCUUAAUAGAGGCCCCUCCAAUUUGGUGUCCUUUCUCCAUUCUCCAUGGUUCACAAUUCUUAGGCUUAAUUUCCAAAAGAACAGAUUGAUGGGUUUGCCAAUCAUCCAAAAGUUAGCCUCAUCAUGGCCCACUUCAGUGUGAUCAUUGAUGCCGCUACGUCAUCUCAAAUAAUGAUGGAUGGUGGAUAUGUCCUUAAUUUGGUAACAAUAAUACAAGAUUAGGUAAAGUAACAUAUAAAGCAUAUAGCAAACUUAUACGUCUCUUUAUGCUUAGAGAGAAUUUGGCUCUCAGCCCGUAAAGUGGAAAAUCUCCUUGAGAGACAAGUUUUCAAUUGCAUAAUCCUAUUUGUGUCAAUAAAGCAAAACUAUUUGCACAAGUCACUAGAGAUGAUUCUUUUUUGGACCAGGUCUGCCUUAUGGUAUGGCUUAUAGUUUUACUAAUGGGUUACUAAAUAUUUUUACUAUGCUUUUUCGUAAUAGUGCAGGAAAUAAUUUGGGGCUAACCAAUUUAUUUUCAUCCAACUACUCUAUUUAAUACAUACACGAAAAUAACAAUAGAUAAGAAAUUAAAAGCAGUACCUUCAGUACCAACUUUUCUUGUCAUAAAUAUGUUUCUCUGCUAAUUGUUAUAAUCGAUACAUCUAUUUGAACAUUAACAAAAGAAUUUUAUGCAUCUAAGAGGAAUUGGUACACACUGAAUGAAGGUAAAACUUACACUAUUUGACACAAAUAUAGAGAGAUACUAUGGCUCUAGCGUAAACUCAUGUAUGAAGAGCAUAAUUGCAUUAUUUUCAUUCAUAAAGUGGCUUUGCCCAAUUUUUAUGCAAGAUUUCGGUUGUUGCAGUCCUAAUUGGCCCUACAGGGCUAUCCUUUUUUUAAAAGGAUAGCUAGGCUCCCUCCUUUACUUGGUGCAAUAACAACAUGGUUUAAUAGUCAGUACAGAGAUGCUACACUCUCUUGCCAUUUCAUGAAUAUUGAUUCCUAGACAAUUUAUUAAAGCAAAAUGUCCAUUUCCUCCAAUAAAAGUUCCAGAGUUUGGUCACCUAACUUGCAUGAUUCCCUUCCAAUUCCUUUAUUGCACAUAAUAUUUCUGUGGUGCUCACCCCUAUUGGUUCUAUGUUCAUCUACUAUGGGGUUGCCACCAGGCUUCCUUGUCUUUUCUAAUCACAUCAAGUUCCUUGGGGAAAGCUACCACCCAUGGUUUGGUGCCCUUGUCAAUUAGAAACUACUACUGGCUGCCCUGUCGACUUCACAAGAGCUCCUUAAAAGCCUUUCAUCUGAGUCAAUAAUUUCCUCCAUCAUCCUUUUAACUUUAUCCUAUUCAAAGCACCUUUUAAUGCUUGGACGCAUACCUUUCAACUUAUUAAUGGAAUAUAUGUCAUUAGGGAGCAAAUUUGCAGCACAAUUCCCCUCUCCCCUUUGAUUGCAACACGUGUCAAGAACUUAUUGGCACUAGCCUUCAAGUGCCGCAUUCCACUCCAUUACAUGACCUAAAGGGUUGUUCAUGGGACCUACUUCAACUGCCCAAAUGGAUGUCUCUUUCAAAUGACAAGUGUUGGCAGCGACAUGAUGCUGGGCAUCAUCUCUCACCUUCACCCAUCUUAAUUUGAUUGAGCUGGAUGCUGGGUUCCAAAAAACAAUGAUCUAGACUUUGUAACUAGGCCAAUGCUUCAGCAAGAAGCGAAUGCCAGGGCUUCUGUGGCGUAAUUAGCAUGGCAUAGAGUCACGUUGCCAAACCAAAUUGUUUAGGCUUUGAGCUAAAUCAAAUCCGAGUUAUGUUAAAAAUCUUUAGGAUAUGUUUGGUUAGGAAAAAUUGAGCUUUGGAAUAGGAAUAGAAAUCGGUUACUGGUUGUUUGGUUGGAAAAAAUCUAAUUUAGAUUUCGAUUCUUAGGAAAAUGGAAAUAUGCCUCAAUCCCCCAAAACUCAAUCUCGACCCUCUUCUAAUAUUCAAAUCCCACUUUAAUUCUGAUUUCAUUCAAAUAACUAAACAUAUUAAAGAAUAUGGUUGUUUCAGUUUUCAUUUCAAUCCAAUCCAAUUUCAAUUCCGACUUUGAUCGUUUACCAAAUUAACCCUUAAUUAUAUAAGAUACAUUUAUAACAUGAAUCGAAAGAAAUCCAUUCAUGUCCAAUCCAUUUAUUUCACAUGGAUCCAUAUCCAACUUGAAAAUUUGGUUAGGGUUUCACUUGUCAGCAAUACAUUUUAAGAUAUAAAAAUAAAAUAAGUCAAGAGGAUGAGAUCUAGGAUUAGACAUUCUAAGACAAGAGAUGGAACGAAAUAAAAUGAAGGGAAAAAAAUGCAAAACAAAUUCCAAAACAUAGUUCACUCUGUUUCAUUCUCCACAAUUUUUUAAUCUUUUUUUUUUUUAAUACAAACUACAAACUACACAACUUUUGGAGCUACUUGAAUGAGGUCUUAACUAGCUCAUAGGCCUCAUACUACUAUCAUCAUCGUAGUGAUUAAGGGCUAGUUUUAAGGGUUUAUCGAUGUUAGAGUGGUUCAACAUAUUUGAGUACCAAAUCCAAACGUAAUGUAUUUAUAAAUGUAAUGUAUUUAUAAUCAAGUUUUAAGCAAUCCUAACUUAAUUAGGCAAAGUCCUUGCUGGUACUCAUAUAUUUAGAUAGAUUGAAACAACUCAACCAAUUUGGAUUUUAAGUUGUCACACUUGGUGGUAACAUUGUUACUGUUGGUUUGAGCGCAAGCACAAUGCUUGGACUCCUAUAAAAUUAGCACCAAAUUGGUAGGUAUGGAAGGUUGCCUUGUUGCUGGCCCCUUUCUUAUGAGAGUUCAGGAACUCUGGUAGGCUUUCAAAGCUUUGAUUUUAGAAUGGUAUGGAAGGAAGGAAAGCUUUAACUUGUCAUCUUUGGAAUGACUAAGAUACAGCCCAUUUGAUGAUUGCUGCUUGGCAAUUUUUUUGUUUUGAAGCUGUAUGGAGGAGGAAAGUUACCUCCCUCAUAUUAUUUAUAAAUAUAUAUAAGUGCAUACAGUGGUAAGAUGGUAGACUGUGCCAAACAAUAUUGGCUGUCCCAAGUUUCAAUAAAAUAUGAAGUUGAGAUAAAAUACCAAUUUUCUUAUACAAGGGAAGCUGCAAUACCAUGUAUGGAAGGCUGCUCUUGAGCCCAUCACUUCACAGCCUAUGUUAUGCCACCCUCUUCAGCAAGAGGAUAGAAUAAGCAUAUAUCAGUCAUCUAGAUAGUUUCUUUUGCAUGCUAUCUUGAAGUUAAUGACUUGCUGUUCUCAGUGUUGGAGAUCCAGUUUCUGAACAAUAAAAUAGUUUUCUUCGCUGCUGCUGAAUGAGCUUUGAAUCUAAAUAGCUUUCGAUUACGCCCCUUCAUAGAAACCAGCAUCCAGUGGAGAAGGAAGCAUCGAUUUGUAGUGUUGUGGAAAAUUGAGAUAGCAACAUCUAUGCAUGUGGAAACUAUGACCCAUGAUUGAGAUAUGCCCAUUUUAUUUCAAGAUGAAGACAUUAUAGUUAGUUGGUUGAUGGAACUAGCCGCUAUAGGGGCAGCAGGAAUCAAUUAAACCCAGGUUAUGUGUUGCUUUUCUUGUCAAAGCUAACGUACUACCUAAUUUUGAUAGCUUCUUGCAUCUAAAUGGAUAGGAACCUUAUAGUCAAAGAAAACAAAUGGUAACAACCUAAUCUACUAACAUUGGGGGACUAGAUUAUCUAAUCACUAAUCUAUCAAGGGUAGGGGUGAGCAAAAACUGAAUCUGAACCAAUCAAACUGGUGAAAUCGAACCGAACUGCAGGUUUGGUUUGAUCUGAAAUUUUAUUCGAUUUGGUUUGAUUGAUUUUUGACAUAUAAAAAACAGGUUUCAGUCGGUUCAGGUUUGUCAGUAAAUAAAACCGUUCUCAAACCGAAUCAGACUGGCUUUAA